Molecule: ribosomal RNA, 497 nt
Filed under: uncultured bacterium
Lineage: Bacteria
Description: partial 16S ribosomal RNA
Rfam family: Bacterial small subunit ribosomal RNA
Source: RNAcentral
GAUGAACGCUGGCGGCGUGCCUAAUACAUGCAAGUCGAGCGAACGGACGAGAAGCUUGCUUUUCUGAUGUUAGCGGCGGACGGGUGAGUAACACGUGGAUAACCUACCUAUAAGACUGGGAUAACUUCGGGAAACCGGAGCUAAUACCGGAUAAUAUUUUGAACCGCAUGGUUCAAAAGUGAAAGACGGUCUUGCUGUCACUUAUAGAUGGAUCCGCGCUGCAUUAGCUAGUUGGUAAGGUAACGGCUUACCAAGGCAACGAUGCAUAGCCGACCUGAGAGGGUGAUCGCCCACACUGGAACUGAGACACGGUCCAGACUCCUACGGGAGGAAGCGGUAGGGAAUCUUACGCAAUGGGCGAAAGGCUGACGGAGCAACACGGCGUGAGUGAUGAAGGUCUUCGGAUCGGAAAACUCUGUUAUUAGGGAAGAACAUAUGUGUAAGUAACUGUGCACAUCUUGACGGUACCUAAUCAGAAAGCCACGGCUAACUACGUG